This 465-nucleotide ribosomal RNA is filed under the name uncultured Veillonella sp. RNAcentral's name for it is "bacterial SSU rRNA". It matches the Rfam family "Bacterial small subunit ribosomal RNA", at positions 338 to 795 of the family's 1533-position model. The record is from RNAcentral. Lineage: Bacteria; Bacillati; Bacillota; Negativicutes; Veillonellales; Veillonellaceae.
CCUACGGGAGGCUGCAGUGGGGAAUCUUCCGCAAUGGACGAAAGUCUGACGGAGCAACGCCGCGUGAGUGAUGACGGCCUUCGGGUUGUAAAGCUCUGUUAAUCGGGACGAAAGGCCUUCUUGCGAAUAGUGAGAAGGAUUGACGGUACCGGAAUAGAAAGCCACGGCUAACUACGUGCCAGCAGCCGCGGUAAUACGUAGGUGGCAAGCGUUGUCCGGAAUUAUUGGGCGUAAAGCGCGCGCAGGCGGAUCAGUCAGUCUGUCUUAAAAGUUCGGGGCUUAACCCCGUGAGGGGAUGGAAACGGCUGAUCGAGGGGAUCGGAGAGGAAAGUGGAAUUCCUAGUGCAGCGGUGAAAUGCGUAGAUAUUAGGAAGAACACCAGUGGCGAAGGCGACUUUCGGGACGAAAACUGACGCUGAGGCGCGAAAGCCAGGGGAGCGAACGGGAUUAGAUACCCUUGUAGUC